AUUCCAGCUCCAAUAGCGUAUAUUAAAGUUGUUGCAGUUAAAAAGCUCGUAGUUGGAUUUCUGGCAGGAGUGACCGACCACAAACUCUGUUUGUGAGUUGUGUCAUUCUGGCCAUCCUUGGUAAGAUCCUUUUUGGCAUUAAGUUGUCGGGAAGGGGAUGACCAUCGUUUACUGUGAAAAAAUUAGAGUGUUUAAAGCAGGCUUAUGCCGUUGAAUAUAUUAGCAUGGAAUAAUAAGAUAGGACUUUGAGUCUAUUUUGUUGGUUUGCGAGUCAAAGUAAUGAUUAAUAGGGACAGUUGGGGGUAUUCGUAUUUCAUUGUCAGAGGUGAAAUUCUUGGAUUUCUGAAAGACGAACUACUGCGAAAGCAUUUACCAAGGAUGUUUUCAUUG
This 390-nucleotide ribosomal RNA is filed under the name Skeletonema sp. RNAcentral describes it as "partial small subunit ribosomal RNA". It matches the Rfam family "Eukaryotic small subunit ribosomal RNA", at positions 582 to 975 of the family's 1831-position model. Lineage: Eukaryota; Bacillariophyta; Thalassiosirophyceae; Thalassiosirales; Thalassiosiraceae. The record is from RNAcentral.